This 468-nucleotide ribosomal RNA is filed under the name uncultured bacterium. RNAcentral's name for it is "partial 16S ribosomal RNA". It matches the Rfam family "Bacterial small subunit ribosomal RNA", at positions 28 to 507 of the family's 1533-position model. The record is from RNAcentral.
GACGAACGCUGGCGGCGUGCUUAACACAUGCAAGUCGAGCGGAAAGGCCCUGCUUUUGUGGGGCGCGCGAGGGGCGAGCGGGUGAGAAGCACGUGAGUAGCCCUCCCUUUAGGUUGGGAUAACUUCAAGGGACUGGGGCUAAUACCGGAUAGGCGCUCCGGAUGCAGGGUGGUGGUUGGACAGCGUCGGCGGUGGGGGAUGGACGCGCGGUUUAUCAGCUUGUUGGGGGGGUAGUGGCUUACCAAGGCUUUGACGGGUAGCCGGCCUGAGAGGGUGACCGGCCACAUUGGGACUGAGAUACGGCCCAGACUCCUACGGGAGGCAGCAGUGGGGAAUAUUGCACAAUGGGCGGAAGCCUGAUGCAGCAACGCCGCGUGCGGGAUGACGGCCUUCGGGUUGUAAACCGCUUUCGCCUGUGACGAAGCGUGAGUGACGGUAACAGGUAAAGAAGCACCGGCUAACUACGUG